Molecule: ribosomal RNA, 497 nt
Filed under: uncultured bacterium
Lineage: Bacteria
Description: partial 16S ribosomal RNA
Rfam family: Bacterial small subunit ribosomal RNA
Source: RNAcentral
GAUGAACGCUGGCGGCGUGCCUAAUACAUGCAAGUCGAGCGAACAGAUAAGGAGCUUGCUCCUUUGACGUUAGCGGCGGACGGGUGAGUUACACGUGGAUAACCUACCUAUAAGACUGGGAUAACUUCGGGAAACCGGAGCUAAUACCGGAUAACAUAUUGAACCGCAUGGUUCAAUAGUGAAAGGCGGCUUUGCUGUCACUUAUAGAUGGAUCCGCGCCGUAUUAGCUAGUUGGUAAGGUAACGGCUUACCAAGGCAACGAUACGUAGCCGACCUGAGAGGGUGAUCGGCCACACUGGAACUGAGACACGGUCCAGACUCCUACGGGAGGCAGCAGUAGGGAAUCUUCCGCAAUGGGCGAAAGCCUGACGGAGCAACGCCGCGUGAGUGAUGAAGGUCUUCGGAUCGUAAAACUCUGUUAUCGGGGAAGAACAAAUGUGUAAGUAACUGUGCACAUCUUGACGGUACCUGAUCAGAAAGCCACGGCUAACUACGUG